RNAcentral lists this long non-coding RNA (463 nucleotides) under Trifolium pratense (red clover). Its description in RNAcentral is "long non-coding RNA (TPRA_LNC000912)". The record is from RNAcentral. Lineage: Eukaryota; Viridiplantae; Streptophyta; Magnoliopsida; Fabales; Fabaceae.
AUUAUCAAAAUAAUGAUUCUUCGCCUUUGUUAAUUUUUUAUACGCAUAAUAAAUUGCAUAGUAGAAAGGAUAAAAAUACUCUACAAAAAAAAAGUAUAAAAAUACAAAUGAUAACAUUUGUACCAACAAAAAAAAGAAAACAAAUUUUAAACCAAAGAAAAAAGGUAAACAAAUGAUUGCAUAAAAAUAACAAUAAUUGGUACAUUUUCUUAUAAAAAAUAUACAAUAAAAUAAUCAACUCCAUUUAAAAUAGUUCAACAUAACACGGCAAAGGAACACAUGAAUAAAACACAUAACACAAAUAAAUAACCAAUAUUAUGUACCAAAAAAAUAAAUUAAAUAACUAACAUUAACUCUUGCCAUAAGCAUAAUAAGAGCUAAAAGUUCAAAAGCAAAAGAUAUAAAAAUCCAAAAAAAUCAUCACUAUGGUCCAACCAUCAUCAUAAACGCGGAUUGAACAAAC